RNAcentral lists this ribosomal RNA (625 nucleotides) under Klebsiella grimontii. RNAcentral's name for it is "partial 23S ribosomal RNA". It matches the Rfam family "Bacterial large subunit ribosomal RNA", at positions 890 to 1517 of the family's 2925-position model. Lineage: Bacteria; Pseudomonadati; Pseudomonadota; Gammaproteobacteria; Enterobacterales; Enterobacteriaceae. The record is from RNAcentral. RNAcentral also lists the same sequence under 1 other name.
UCAUCUUCGGGGGUAGAGCACUGUUUCGGCUAGGGGGUCAUCCCGACUUACCAACCCGAUGCAAACUACGAAUACCGAAGAAUGUUAUCACGGGAGACACACGGCGGGUGCUAACGUCCGUCGUGAAGAGGGAAACAACCCAGACCGCCAGCUAAGGUCCCAAAGUCAUGGUUAAGUGGGAAACGAUGUGGGAAGGCCCAGACAGCCAGGAUGUUGGCUUAGAAGCAGCCAUCAUUUAAAGAAAGCGUAAUAGCUCACUGGUCGAGUCGGCCUGCGCGGAAGAUGUAACGGGGCUAAACCAUGCACCGAAGCUGCGGCAGCGACACUAUGUGUUGUUGGGUAGGGGAGCGUUCUGUAAGCCGUUGAAGGUGGCCUGUGAGGGUUGCUGGAGGUAUCAGAAGUGCGAAUGCUGACAUAAGUAACGAUAAUGCGGGUGAAAAACCCGCACGCCGGAAGACCAAGGGUUCCUGUCCAACGUUAAUCGGGGCAGGGUGAGUCGACCCCUAAGGCGAGGCCGAAAGGCGUAGUCGAUGGGAAACAGGUUAAUAUUCCUGUACUUGGUGUUACUGCGAAGGGGGGACGGAGAAGGCUAUGUUGGCCGGGCGACGGUUGUCCCGGUUUAAGC